GUUGGCAGUGAACAGCUUCCUGGGUCACAAAUUCUACCAUUCAGGCCUCACCAGUUGGAGCAACCCAAGAAUGGGCAUAUGCAGAGGAUACUCGAAGAAGAAUAUCUUAUCAACGGAGUACCCUUGGGUCUGAAACAGAGUUUCUAUAAGCAUAUUCCAAGUUUUAGUUUGAAGAUGAUGAUGAGGAGGAGGUUGAAGAUAGCUCACAGCAAGCAAGCGGAGAAACUGUUUUCCCUGACAGCCAGGAAUUGUUUUUCACCCUGGAUCUAGUCCCCUCCCAACCCACCGAAGGCGGGCUCCCGGCCCUAGAAGGCAGAGAAGGGACCUCUGUGGAACAGCAAAUGUGGAUCAAGAGGUGCUCCUCCUGUCUCAAUUAUGUCAAGUUCAGACUGACAUCCCUGAGGGUAAUGAAGAUACUUGCCAGAGGAUUUUCUGAAAGGCUGGAGCAGGAGAGGAUGCUGGAUUCCCAGUCAGGCCAUGGGAUGGUAAGAAGGAACUGAGCGGGCAUCAACCCGCACUGCCUCUUAUGCCUGUACUUAGAAAUGCAAGGAGAUCUACUAUGCAUGUGAGGCCAAUGGACACUGCUUGCCAAAAUCUUCAGACUUGGGCACAUGGUAUGCGUGGGUACCUCACAUGUGGAAUACACAUAGGGACCAGCACUUA
This is a long non-coding RNA of Mauremys reevesii (Reeves's turtle), 663 nucleotides long. RefSeq lists it as uncharacterized. NCBI's taxonomy places the organism in Eukaryota, Metazoa, Chordata, Testudines, Geoemydidae. The transcript is spliced from 4 exons. The record is from RefSeq and is a predicted model, not a curated record.